This 435-nucleotide ribosomal RNA is filed under the name uncultured cyanobacterium. RNAcentral's name for it is "bacterial SSU rRNA". It matches the Rfam family "Bacterial small subunit ribosomal RNA", at positions 356 to 801 of the family's 1533-position model. Lineage: Bacteria; Bacillati; Cyanobacteriota. The record is from RNAcentral.
GGGGAAUUUUCCGCNAUGGGCGAAAGCCUGACGGAGCAAUACCGCGUGAGGGAGGAAGGCUCUUGGGUUGUAAACCUCUUUUCUNCAGGGAAUAAGAACUGAAGGUACCUGAGGAAUCAGCAUCGGCUAACUCCGUGCCAGCAGCCGCGGUAAUACGGAGGAUGCAAGCGUUAUCCGGAAUGAUUGGGCGUAAAGCGUCCGCAGGUGGUUUAUCAAGUCUGCUGUCAAAGAGUUUGGCUCAACCAAAUAAAGGCAGUGGAAACUGACAGACUGGAGUGCGGUAAGGGCAGAGGGAAUUCCUGGUGUAGCGGUGAAAUGCGUAGAGAUACAGGAAGAACACCGGUGGCGAAAGCGCUCUGCUGGGCCGNAANUGACACUGAGGGAGCGAAAGCUAGGGGAGCGAAUCGGGAUUAGAUACCCCAUGUCAGUCAAUCG